AGGGAUAUAGCUCAGUGGUAGAACGUGUGCUUGGUGUGCAUGAGGUCCUGAGUUAACCCCCAGUAUCUCCA
RNAcentral lists this transfer RNA (71 nucleotides) under Camelus bactrianus (Bactrian camel). It matches the Rfam family "tRNA". Rfam says of the family: Transfer RNA (tRNA) molecules are approximately 80 nucleotides in length. Their secondary structure includes four short double-helical elements and three loops (D, anti-codon, and T loops). RNAcentral also lists the same sequence under 1 other name. Lineage: Eukaryota; Metazoa; Chordata; Mammalia; Artiodactyla; Camelidae. The record is from Rfam by way of RNAcentral.